Molecule: non-coding RNA, 24 nt
Filed under: Arabidopsis thaliana (thale cress)
Lineage: Eukaryota; Viridiplantae; Streptophyta; Magnoliopsida; Brassicales; Brassicaceae
Source: RNAcentral
GAAGACGGUGUACGAUUGAUUAAA